UACGAAGGGGGCUAGCGUUGCUCGGAAUUACUGGGCGUAAAGGGCGCGUAGGCGGACAGUUUAGUCAGAGGUGAAAGCCCAGGGCUCAACCUUGGAAUAGCCUUUGAUACUGGCUGUCUUGAGUUCGGGAGAGGUGAGUGGAAUGCCGAGUGUAGAGGUGAAAUUCGUAGAUAUUCGGAAGAACACCAGUGGCGAAGGCGACUCGCUGGACAGGUAUUGACGCUGAGGUGCGAAAGCGUGGGGAGCAAACAGG
Molecule: ribosomal RNA, 253 nt
Filed under: uncultured bacterium
Lineage: Bacteria
Description: partial 16S ribosomal RNA
Rfam family: Bacterial small subunit ribosomal RNA
Source: RNAcentral